UCAUCGAUGGGGAUGCGUUCCAUUAGCUUGUUGGCGGGGUAACGGCCCACCAAGGCAUCGAUGGAUAGGGGUUCUGAGAGGAAGGUCCCCCACAUUGGAACUGAGACACGGUCCAAACUCCUACGGGAGGCAGCAGUGAGGAAUAUUGGUCAAUGGGCGCUAGCCUGAACCAGCCAAGUAGCGUGAAGGAUGACUGCCCUAUGGGUUGUAAACUUCUUUUAUAUGGGAAUAAAGUGCAGUAUGUAUACUGCUUUGCAUGUACCUUAUGAAUAAGGAUCGGCUAACUCCGUGCCAGCAGCCGCGGUAAUACGGAGGAUCCGAGCGUUAUCCGGAUUUAUUGGGUUUAAAGGGAGCGUAGGCGGGUUGUUAAGUCAGUUGUGAAAGUUUGCGGCUCAACCGUAAAAUUGCAGUUGAUACUGGCAUCCUUGAGUACAGUAGAGGUAGGCGGAAUUCGUGGUGUAGCGGUGAAAUGCUUAGAUAUCACGAAGAACUCCGAUUGCGAAGGCAGCCUGCUGGACUGUAACUGACGCUGAUGCUCGAAAGUGUGGGUAUCAAACAGGAUUAGAUACCCUGGUAGUCCACACAGUAAACGAUGAAUACUCGCUGUUUGCGAUAUAC
RNAcentral lists this ribosomal RNA (618 nucleotides) under uncultured bacterium. Its description in RNAcentral is "bacterial SSU rRNA". It matches the Rfam family "Bacterial small subunit ribosomal RNA", at positions 219 to 834 of the family's 1533-position model. The record is from RNAcentral.